AAGCAGACAGACCCACAACCUUUUUGCACCUGUUUUUUCCACUCCGGCUGCGGUGAAUAGUGAGGUCUUCUUUACAGAUAGACAGAGAGCAUUUUGCAAACACUCCCCUCUUCAAGGCAAUGGUUUCUUCCCUCACAAGCUCAAUCUACCUGAUUACGUUCUCCUCUAAUCAGUAACCUCAGUUCCUCUAGUAAUAACUGUGCCGCCUGCUUUAUAUAGGAUUUCUCUGAGACUGAAGCAUAAACCAGAGUGGAGAAUUACAGGAGCUGAUUAUUGUGAGGACACCUGUAUUUUUGUCUACUCUUCAUGUGAACUUGAAAGUGCACUCGUUUAUGCAAACUGAUGUAAGUGAAAGAGAAGCAGAAAAGGGGAAGCAUAAAGAAGAGAAUGGAACCUAUGCGGAAAUUUCAUUUGGAAAGAACAGGAGGUGUUAGUGCGAAAAAGCCCAUUAAUUGUACUGUAUCCCCUUGCCUAAAAAGAGUACUGCACCCAAAUUACAGAAGAACUGAGGAAACCUUGUAGCAUGAGUAUAUAAUUACCAGUACUGCUAAGUGAAUGGAAAUGGAGGUUGCCUAACUUAAUUAACUGUAAUCAUUACUCAUUGUCAUUCUGCUUAGAAAGAUUAGUUGAGGGCAUUCGUUCUGUGCUUUCACAUUAGGCAUUUCUACUUCCCUCUUAAAUGUGUAAAUGAUUAUACUACAAAGAAAGAAUUGCCACACAUUUUCAGAUACAAACUUUUCUGCGCAAGUAAGCUCCAUGCCUUAGUUCAGGGAGUGGAACAGGAAUAAGAAGACACUUUGUGGGACUAAAAUUAGAGAAAUGAAGAAAAAAAUAGAUUACAUAAGUUAGUGGCUUGAAGAGAAAAAAGGAAUCCUGCAUGAGUUUUCAUCAGGAAAAUAGCUCUUGACUGGGGAGAUGGGGAGGAGGGGAAUAACCAUUUAAGAUCUAUAAAGAAAAGGAAAAGAU
This 966-nucleotide long non-coding RNA is filed under the name Dasypus novemcinctus (nine-banded armadillo). Its description in RNAcentral is "lncRNA (ENSDNOG00000050866.1)". Lineage: Eukaryota; Metazoa; Chordata; Mammalia; Cingulata; Dasypodidae. The record is from RNAcentral.